GACGAACGCUGGCGGCGUGCCUAAUACAUGCAAGUCGAACGAGAGCGACCGGUGCUUGCACUGGUCAAUCUAGUGGCGAACGGGUGAGUAACACGUGGGUAACUGCCCAUCAGAGGGGGAUAACAUCCGGAAACGGAUGCUAAAACCGCAUAGGUCUUCGAGCCGCAUGGCUUGAAGAGGAAAAGAGGCGCAAGCUUCUGCUGAUGGAUGGACCCGCGGUGCAUUAGCUAGUUGGUGAGGUAACGGCUCACCAAGGCCGUGAUGCAUAGCCGACCUGAGAGGGUGAUCGGCCACAUUGGGACUGAGACACGGCCCAAACUCCUACGGGGAGGCAGCAGUAGGGAAUCUUCCGCAAUGGACGCAAGUCUGACGGGAGCAACGCCGGCGUGAGUGAAAGAAAGGUUUUUCGGGAUCCGUAAAAA
This 422-nucleotide ribosomal RNA is filed under the name Granulicatella adiacens. RNAcentral describes it as "bacterial SSU rRNA". It matches the Rfam family "Bacterial small subunit ribosomal RNA", at positions 28 to 431 of the family's 1533-position model. The record is from RNAcentral. Lineage: Bacteria; Bacillati; Bacillota; Bacilli; Lactobacillales; Carnobacteriaceae.